Molecule: ribosomal RNA, 440 nt
Filed under: uncultured bacterium
Lineage: Bacteria
Description: bacterial SSU rRNA
Rfam family: Bacterial small subunit ribosomal RNA
Source: RNAcentral
CCUACGGGAGGCAGCAGUGGGGAAUCUUCCGCAAUGGGCGCAAGCCUGACGGAGUGACGCCGCGUGGGGGACGAAGGCCUUCGGGUCGUAAACCCCGUCAGAGGGAAAGAAGGCGGCGGCGGUGAACAGCCGACGCCGUUGACGGUACCUUCAGAGGAAGCCCCGGCCAACUCUGUGCCAGUAGCCGCGGUAAGACAGAGGGUGCAAGCAUUAAUCGGAUUCAUUGGGCGUAAAGGGGGCGUAGGCGGUUGUGACAGCCAGAUGUGAAAUCCCGGGGCUCAACCCCGGAACUGCAUUUGGAACUACACAUCUAGAGGAUAGGCGGAGAAAACAGAAUUCCACAUGUAGCGGUGAAAUGCGUAGAUAUGUGGAAGAAUACCGGUGGCGAAGGCGGUUUUCUAGCUUAUACCUGACGCUGAGGCCCGAAAGCUAGGGGAUCA